UAAUACAGAGGGUGCAAGCGUUAAUCGGAAUUGCUGGGCGUAAAGCGCACGUAGGCGGCGUGAUAAGUUGGAUGUGAAAUCCCCGGGCUUAACUUGGGAAUUGCAUUCAAGACUGUCGCGCUGGAGUAUGGGAGAGAGAAGUGGAAUUCCAGGUGUAGCGGUGAAAUGCGUAGAUAUCUGGAGGAACAUCAGUGGCGAAGGCGGCUUCUUGGCCCAAUACUGACGCUGAGGUGCGAAAGCGUGGGGAUCAAACAGG
Molecule: ribosomal RNA, 256 nt
Filed under: uncultured archaeon
Lineage: Archaea
Description: partial 16S ribosomal RNA
Rfam family: Bacterial small subunit ribosomal RNA
Source: RNAcentral